AUCUAAGGAUGAAAGUGGGGGAUUCGCAAGAACCUCAUGCUCCUGGAGCGGCCGAUAUCUGAUUAGCUAGUUGGUAGGGUAAAAGCCUACCAAGGCAUCGAUCAGUAGCUGGUCUGAGAGGACGACCAGCCACACUGGAACUGAGACACGGUCCAGACUCCUACGGGAGGCAGCAGUGGGGAAUUUUGGACAAUGGGCGAAAGCCUGAUCCAGCAAUGCCGCGUGAGUGAAGAAGGCCUUCGGGUUGUAAAGCUCUUUUGUCAGGGAAGAAACGGUUGUCUCUAAUACAGAUGGCUAAUGACGGUACCUGAAGAAUAAGCACCGGCUAACUACGUGCCAGCAGCCGCGGUAAUACGUAGGGUGCAAGCGUUAAUCGGAAUUACUGGGCGUAAAGCGUGCGCAGGCGGUUUUGUAAGUCUGUCGUGAAAUCCCCGGGCUCAACCUGGGAAUUGCGAUGGAGACUGCAAGGCUAGAAUCUGGCAGAGGGGGGUAGAAUUCCACGUGUAGCAGUGAAAUGCGUAGAGAUGUGGAGGAACACCGAUGGCGAAGGCAGCCCCCUGGGUCAAGAUUGACGCUCAUGCACGAAAGCGUGGGGAGCAAACAGGAUUAGAUACCCUGGUAGUCCACGCCCUAAACGAUGUCUACUAGUUGUCGGGUUUUAAUUAACUUGGUAACGCAGCUAACGCGUGAAGUAGACCGCCUGGGGAGUACGGUCGCAAGAUUAAAACUCAAAGG
Molecule: ribosomal RNA, 735 nt
Filed under: uncultured bacterium
Lineage: Bacteria
Description: bacterial SSU rRNA
Rfam family: Bacterial small subunit ribosomal RNA
Source: RNAcentral